GAGGAAAGAGGGAGGAGGGAAGAAGAAAGGAAAGUAGAGUGAACAGACGAGGAGCUUGCUCCUCUGACGUUAGCGGCGGACGGGUGAGUAACACGUGGAUAACCUACCUAUAAGACUGGGAUAACUUCGGGAAACCGGAGCUAAUACCGGAUAAUAUAUUGAACCGCAUGGUUCAAUAGUGAAAGACGGUUUUGCUGUCACUUAUAGAUGGAUCCGCGCCGCAUUAGCUAGUUGGUAAGGUAACGGCUUACCAAGGCAACGAUGCGUAGCCGACCUGAGAGGGUGAUCGGCCACACUGGAACUGAGACACGGUCCAGACUCCUACGGGAGGCAGCAGUAGGGAAUCUUCCGCAAUGGGCGAAAGCCUGACGGAGCAACGCCGCGUGAGUGAUGAAGGUCUUCGGAUCGUAAAACUCUGUUAUUAGGGAAGAGCAAAUGUGUAAGUAACUAUGCACGUCUUGACGGUACCUAAUCAGAAAGCCACGGCUAACUACGUA
RNAcentral lists this ribosomal RNA (497 nucleotides) under uncultured bacterium. RNAcentral's name for it is "partial 16S ribosomal RNA". It matches the Rfam family "Bacterial small subunit ribosomal RNA", at positions 28 to 507 of the family's 1533-position model. The record is from RNAcentral.